This is a long non-coding RNA of Myotis davidii, 106 nucleotides long. RefSeq lists it as uncharacterized. The record is from RefSeq and is a predicted model, not a curated record. NCBI's taxonomy places the organism in Eukaryota, Metazoa, Chordata, Mammalia, Chiroptera, Vespertilionidae. The transcript is spliced from 4 exons.
AGGGAAUAUAGUGAAGAAUAUUGUAAUAACUAUGUAUGGUGCCAGGUGGGAACAGGAAAUAUUGGGAGGAGCACUUUGUGAAUGUGAGUGUCUAAGCCAGUGGUGG